UCUGUUUUGUUUCCAAGUCUUCUUCAA
Molecule: small RNA, 27 nt
Filed under: Arabidopsis thaliana (thale cress)
Lineage: Eukaryota; Viridiplantae; Streptophyta; Magnoliopsida; Brassicales; Brassicaceae
Description: ATSL019900
Source: RNAcentral